Molecule: unclassified non-coding RNA, 387 nt
Filed under: uncultured bacterium
Lineage: Bacteria
Description: contains 16S-23S intergenic spacer region
Source: RNAcentral
UCCUCGUUUAAGCGAGGCAGUCUGUCCAGAGUGCUCCAAUCUCUCGAUUGAGUGGCAACAGGACACAGGGGUUGCGCUCGCUGCGGGACUUAACCCAACAUCUCACGACACGAGCUGACGACAGCCAUGCAGCACCUGUGCACGCUCCCCUUGCGGGGUCGUUACCCUUUCAGGCUCCUACUACGUGCAUGUCAAGGCCAGGUAAGGUUCUUCGCGUUGCAUCGAAUUAAGCCACAUACUCCACCGCUUGUGCAGGCCCCCGUCAAUUUCUUUGAGUUUUAGCCUUGCGGCCGUACUCCCCAGGCGGGGUGCUUAAUGCGUUAGCUACGGCACGGAAGGAGUUGACACCUCCCACACCUAGCACCCAUCGUUUACGGCGUGGACUAC